This 503-nucleotide ribosomal RNA is filed under the name uncultured bacterium. RNAcentral's name for it is "partial 16S ribosomal RNA". It matches the Rfam family "Bacterial small subunit ribosomal RNA", at positions 30 to 523 of the family's 1533-position model. The record is from RNAcentral.
AUUGAACGCUGGCGGCAGGCUUAACACAUGCAAGUCGAGCGGGGUGAUGGUGCUUGCACUAUCACUUAGCGGCGGACGGGUGAGUAAUGCUUAGGAAUCUGCCUAUUAGUGGGGGACAACAUCUCGAAAGGGAUGCUAAUACCGCAUACGUCCUACGGGAGGAAGCAGGGGAUCACUUGUGACCUUGCGCUAAUAGAUGAGCCUAAGUCGGAUUAGCUAGUUGGUGGGGUAAAGGCCUACCAAGGCGACGAUCUGUAGCGGGUCUGAGAGGAUGAUCCGCCACACUGGGACUGAGACACGGCCCAGACUCCUACGGGAGGCAGCAGUGGGGAAUAUUGGACAAUGGGGGGAACCCUGAUCCAGCCAUGCCGCGUGUGUGAAGAAGGCCUUAUGGUUGUAAGGCACUUUAAGCGAGGAGGAGGCUCUUUUGGUUAAUACCCAAGAUGAGUGGACGUUACUCGCAGAAUAAGCACCGGCUAACUCUGUGCCAGCAGCCGCCGUAA